Long non-coding RNA from Taeniopygia guttata (zebra finch), 2048 nucleotides. Lineage: Eukaryota; Metazoa; Chordata; Aves; Passeriformes; Estrildidae. The record is from Ensembl.
ACCGACACCGACACCGACACCGGCACUGGCACCGACACCGACACCGACACCGGCACCGGCACCCGCCGGGGUUUGGGACGGCACAGGACGUACCGGGCCGGGCGGUUCGGGACGGUAUGGUACAGUAACGGGACGGUACGGUGGGGCACGGCACUGCACGGCACGGUACAGUCUGUCAUGGCACGGUGUGGCACGGCUGUGGGAUAUGGCUCAGGACUGUCUGGCACAGCUUGGGACAGAAUGGGAUGGGCAGUAGAGUGUGGCGUGGCACAGUAUGGUAUGGCUCAGAAUGGCCCAGCUUGGCAUGGCACGACACAGCUCGGCUCUGCAUGGCUCAGCAGGGCACGUCAGAGCUCGGCAGCAUGGCUCAGAACGGUACAGAGCAGCUCGGUACCGAUGGCAUGGCUUGGCAUGGCAUGGCACGGUACAGCACAGCGUGGCACGGCAUGGCAUGGCACAGCACAGCUGCAGGGCUGGGAGCAGGGAGUGGUUGCACUGGCUUAGCUGGGUGCAGAGUGCAGGGUUCAGGGCACACAGCUGGGCACAGGGCUCAGGCGUGGAUUGCAGGGCAUGCGAUGGGGGCGGUGCCCAGCAUGGGCACAGAGCAGCACUGGGUGACACACCCGAGGGACACGAGACACCCCCUGUGCCCCAAGAGGAGCAGGGUGGCCGUGGUGCGUGGCUCAGCCCCAGCCCUGGCUCUUGCCCCGUUGAGCCCACAUGCCACACAUGGGGCAGCACGUGCAGGGACACGGUGGCCUUGGCACCAGGGUCACCUGGGGACACAGGAGCAGGAAUCAGGGAGGAGCACAGGAUGGCAGUGCCCAUGGGACUCCUGCCUCGAGGAACCUGCCUUGUGGGGUGAUGGGGGAACCCUGGGGCACUCAGCUGGGAUGAGGAGCUGGCACAGGGAAGGGGCCAGGCUGCGAUAGGAAAACUUCCUGGAGGGAAGGACAAGAGUUCCAGUGCCAGAGUGAGGUUUGGGCAUGGCCAGGAGCAGCAGGAGCUGGAUGAAGGUGCCAGGAUGUGCUGGAGUCUCUAGGCAGACAAUAUCCCAUGGGAAUACGGUGUGGGGUUGGCAUCCCACAGCCACUGGGAAAGUCUGACACGAGAGCAGGAUCACCGUUGGGCACCAGCUGGUCCCUUCAGACACAUGGCAGGAUUGUCCUGACUGAGCAGAAAGGACAACCAGUGCAUGGGAAAGGUCAGAGGGAGCAAAUGAACCCUCUUGUCAUGAUGAGCUUCCCAUUUCCAUGAUGGAAGGGGAGUAAAACCCUGUCUCAGCUCCAUUAACCAAUGAGCAUAAACUGGGAUCAAUCCCAGAGCUGUGCUGGCAGGGUGGGACAGGGACGGAGCUGACACACGGCUGCUGUUCUGUCCCACACGGCCAAAGAGCUGCUCCAGGGCUGGAGACAUCUGUCAAAGAAGCUGGGAUGGAGCAGAAAAGCCUUUCAGCGCCCAUCCCAGAAAACCUGAACAGUGCCAGGGAUGAAACUGGGAUCAUGGAACUGGGAUACCGGGAAACACAGCCCUGCGUGGUGCGCUGGGGUUUGGGAAAGGGGAGAAGGGAUAUGUGUGAUCCAAGGUGUCCGUGCAUCUCUGGGAAUGCUGAAAUGCACCGUGGGCGGGUGGGACCAUGCUGCGGGGGGUUCUGAGCACGGUGCCAGCUUCAUCUCCAGCCAGAUCCGCAGGGAUCCUGCCCAGCUGCAGCCCCCGGCCGCGGUGCCGCUGUCUGGGUCCGGAUUGAGAGGUUCGGAUGGCCGGUUUCCCCGGGGAUCAGCCGCUUGGAGCCUGUUUGGAACCGGGAGCAGCCCACGGGAGCCGGGCCGUGCCGGGCCGUGCCGUGCCAGCUUUCCAGCGCCUCCGGACACAGCCGGGGCGGCACCGGCGGGGAUGGGAGCGGGAGGACGGGCGGCGUUUGAAGGAAAAGCCACCCUGCAGGAUUCAUGGCAAGGCAUUUGCAUGAUAAAGCACGGAGCUCUUUGCUUUGGGUAAAUCUGUAAUUAAUGCUGAAUCGUUGUGUAAUUAAAAGCUACCGGCAUGGAAAA